Cyprinus carpio carpio is the source of this 2490-nucleotide long non-coding RNA. The record is from Ensembl. NCBI's taxonomy places the organism in Eukaryota, Metazoa, Chordata, Actinopteri, Cypriniformes, Cyprinidae.
CACCGGGACGGUGACAUUUAAGGGUGGGUGAAUGUAGCGGGUAGGGCGUAGGCAGCGGGAAUUGCGCCUUGAUUGAAUCAGGUGGUGGGCGUUUGGCGUUGCACCUUUAAAUGUAGCAAGCUGGCGGUUUCUCUGAUUAGUGUUUUACUAUAGAUUCUUGGUUCCUUGGACUCUUGGUUGGUUGUACGAGUUGAUCUCGACUUGGUGUUUGUGCGGUUAUUCAGUGCCGUGGUUACAUCUAGCUCUGUCUUCACGAGCCCUCACCGGCUACGGAUUGUGUCUGCGUGUUUCAAUGAAAAUUCGCUGAUUUAGAGUAUGACCACUACAAGUUUGCCGAGUGCUGUUUGUUGUGCUGAGAAUAUUGGCCUGGGAAUGUAUGAGUAAAAACCAGACGGAAUAAGGCGAUUGCUACAGUAUUACAACUAAACAAGCUCUUGGUUCGACGCUGCGGUCUGUGUCCAUACAGGAGGACCGUCAUAUGCCAUCUUGGCCACUGUUUUUCCUGUGCCCUGUUUUUAGUAUUCAGUUGUGUGUGUGUGUGUGUGGUGUGUGUGUGUGUGUGUGUGUGGGAGGGAGGCCCACUGUGUUGUUCAUUAGUCUUCCUCUGUGUGUGUUGCUGUAUGUUUUAUGUUUGUAUCUUGGGCCAUUGGGUUGGUGCAAUAUCCUGGGGGGGGGGAUAACAAUUUUGUUGUGUGGUCACUGGUUUGCUGAGUGUAAAUUUAUUUUGUUUUCUGUGCAUAUGAUUUGUGAUGUGCCUUAUUUAUUCUGUGUUUGCUGAUUGAGUUUUGCUGAUUUUUGUUAUUCAUUUACACACUUUGAUUUUGCACUUUGUUGUCCCUGUCCCUGAAUUUGUUGACCAGAGGCCUAAUGUUUGUUAUUUUAAGUGUGUCUAACUGGAGAAAAAUAAAAUAAACUUUAUUUUAUAGUACUCCAGUCCCUCUCUCUCCUUUUAUUUCCCUUUAUUGGGAUAGCCUGCUUGUGAAUAUAUAAAAUUUAGAUUGUUGGUUGACUGGUUUGACAAGGCCCCCUAGGGGUUACACAUAGAGAGAGAAUAUAUUACUAAUUUACACUGACCAAAAUUAUAAACGCAACACUAUUGAUGGCGGUCAUAUAAGUAUGAUUUAAAUCAUGCUAAUGCACUUCCAUUAAUGCCAACAAAGUUUUCUAAUCUAUGCAAAAGAAUGUUGUGGUCAAUAGUGUCGAACGCAGUGCUAAGAUCCAAUAGCACUAAUAGAGAGAUACAACCACGAUCAGAUGACAGCUCUGGUGGACAUCCCUGCAGUCAGCAUGCCAACUGCAUGCUCCCUCAAAACUUGCAACAUCUGUGGCAUUGUGCUGUGUAAUAAAACUGCACAUUUUAGAGUGACUUUUUAUUGUGGCCAGCCAAAGGCACACCUGUGCAAUAAGCAUGCUGUCUAAUCAACAUCUUGAUAUGCCACACCUGUGAGGUGGAUGGAUUAUCUCGGCAAAGGAGAAGUGCUCACUAACACAGAUUUAGACAAAUUUGUGAACAAUAUUUGAGAGAAAUAGGCCUUUUGUGUACAUAGAAAAAGUCUUAGAUCUUUGAGUUCAGCUCAUGAAAAAUGGGGGCAAAAACAAAAGUGUUGCAUUUAUAAUUUUGUUCAGUGUAUAAUAGUCAUAUAUAUAGAUAAGUGAGCCUGGUGUGCUUUUUCUUAGCAUCGGUUUCCAUAGUGACUCAUGGUUCUGUUGAGUCUUGUGUGUUAACUGAGAAUAUAUUCUGAGUUGACUGAAUUUAGACUAAUUUUGAUUUCCUUCUUUCAAAGUUAUAUUCAGCAUAUUGCUGUGCUGUAUUAACAACAGCUAUGGUACAUCAUGUUAUUUGAAAUGUUCAGUCCACAGCUGAAAGUCACAGCAUAGCCUACAUGAGAAUACUUUUAUUACAUUGUGAACAUAGCUGUUGAUUUGCAUGGAAGGUAACAUUAAAUGAAUUCAAAACUCUAAUUCAAAGCUACUGUAAUUCGCCUGAGGUUUACCAUAAUUCAGAAGAAAGAGUCUUUAAAAAAGAUAUUGCUCAUACGUUCUCAUCACCAGUGUCAUGGGCAUAAGUGCCUAUUAUCAUCAUCAGUAAAUUAAGAAAAUGGCGGUGCAAGAAGGUGAUGAUUUAUUAUCAGUAAGGCUCAGGAGCUCAGUAAAAAUGCUGUCCUGUUUUGUAACCGGCAUUAUUUUUUCUAGCAUGAUAUGACCUGCAAUUAUCAAACCUUCUAUAUUGCAUCAUAUUGCUUCUUGUUAUUUAGUCUAUCCACUCUCACUAAUUCAUGAAUGGAGGGUUUAAAAAUCUCCUGCUAAGCUUAAUUAGCGAUAUUCAUUAUGAAGAUAUGCAGGCAUAUUUUCUAUUUAAAUUGACGAGAGGCACUGCUGCAUCACUUGUAUUCAAUGCUCUUUUUAAGACUUCAUAUUGUAUUGCUAAUUAGAUGAUAAAUUAUGAGUUAAUGCCAUUAUCUGGAUUUGCUCACCAUGUGUGAAGUACCU